Molecule: unclassified non-coding RNA, 223 nt
Filed under: Hevea brasiliensis (rubber tree)
Lineage: Eukaryota; Viridiplantae; Streptophyta; Magnoliopsida; Malpighiales; Euphorbiaceae
Source: RNAcentral
GAAGUUGCUGAAGAGAGAAUUUAGUGCUUUUAGAUACUCCUCAUUCACAGAUCCAGUGGCCCAUAAAUCUUUUUCAAUAGCAGCAGUUAUAGCUCUGACUGUUUCACUAGACGCAUACUCUUGAAUGGUGUGAUUGGAGAAUAGAAGUUUAAUAAACAUUGCUGCCUGGACAGAUGUAUCUGGAUCGCUCGAACCAAUAAAAUCCAAUACAACCUGAACACCA